RNAcentral lists this ribosomal RNA (253 nucleotides) under uncultured bacterium. RNAcentral's name for it is "partial 16S ribosomal RNA". It matches the Rfam family "Bacterial small subunit ribosomal RNA", at positions 524 to 776 of the family's 1533-position model. The record is from RNAcentral.
GACGAACCGUGCGAACGUUGUUCGGAAUCACUGGGCUUAAAGGGCGCGUAGGCGGCUCCGCCAGUCGGGGGUGAAAUCCCACGGCCUAACCGUGGAAGUGCCUCCGAUACUGCGGGGCUGGAGGGAGGUAGGGGCAGCGGGAACUUCGGGUGGAGCGGUGAAAUGCGUUGAUAUCCGAAGGAACGCCGGUGGCGAAAGCGCGCUGCUGGACCUCUUCUGACGCUGAGGCGCGAAAGCCAGGGGAGCAAACGGG